AACGAACGCUGGCGGCAUGCCUAACACAUGCAAGUCGAACGAGACCUUCGGGUCUAGUGGCGCACGGGUGCGUAACGCGUGGGAACCUGCCUUUAGGUUCGGAAUAACUCAGAGAAAUUUGAGCUAAUACCGGAUGAUGUCUUCGGACCAAAGAUUUAUCGCCUUUAGAUGGGCCCGCGUUGGAUUAGCUAGUUGGUGGGGUAAGGGCCUACCAAGGCGACGAUCCAUAGCUGGUCUGAGAGGAUGAUCAGCCACACUGGGACUGAGACACGGCCCAGACUCCUACGGGAGGCAGCAGUGGGGAAUAUUGGACAAUGGGCGAAAGCCUGAUCCAGCAAUGCCGCGUGAGUGAUGAAGGCCUUAGGGUUGUAAAGCUCUUUUACCCGAGAUGAUAAUGACAGUAGCGGGAGAAUAAGCUCCGGCUAACUCCGUG
This 433-nucleotide ribosomal RNA is filed under the name uncultured bacterium. RNAcentral's name for it is "partial 16S ribosomal RNA". It matches the Rfam family "Bacterial small subunit ribosomal RNA", at positions 29 to 507 of the family's 1533-position model. The record is from RNAcentral.